RNAcentral lists this ribosomal RNA (301 nucleotides) under uncultured bacterium. Its description in RNAcentral is "partial 16S ribosomal RNA". It matches the Rfam family "Bacterial small subunit ribosomal RNA", at positions 509 to 807 of the family's 1533-position model. The record is from RNAcentral.
CAGUAGCCACGGUAAAACGUAGGGUGCGAGCGUUAAUCGGAUUUACUGGGCGUAAAGCGCACGUAGGCGGACUGGAAAGUCAGAGGUGAAAUCCCAGGGCUCAACCUUGGAACUGCCUUUGAAACUAUCAGUCUGGAGUUCGAGAGAGAUGAGUGGAAUUCCGAGUGUAGAGGUGAAAUUCGUAGAUAUUCGGAGGAACACCAGUGGCGAAGGCGGCUCACUGGCUCGAUACUGACGCUGAGGUGCGAAAGCGUGGGGAGCAAACAGGAUUAGAUACCCCUGUAGUCCCUGUCUCUUAUAC